UCAGACAUGGUGUUGUGGUGACACAGCCUCUUCAGAUUGUAGAUAUGUUUAUGUCAAGUAGAUUGGGGGCAGUCCGGGGUUCAAUUCCCUGUGUCUGAA
This is a non-coding RNA of Mycena galericulata, 99 nucleotides long. Lineage: Eukaryota; Fungi; Basidiomycota; Agaricomycetes; Agaricales; Mycenaceae. The record is from the annotation of a GenBank genome assembly.